AUUGAACGAUGGCGGGAGGCAGAAAAAAGGAAAGUCGAAAGGGAAAAGGAAGCAGCUGGCGGAGUCGGUGACGAGUGGCGGACGGGUGAGGAAUGUCUGGGAAACUGCCUGAUGGAGGGGGAUAACUACGGGAAACGGUAGCUAAUACCGCAUAACGUCGCAAGACCAAAGAGGGGGACCUUAGGGCCUCUUGCCAUCGGAUGUGCCCAGAUGGGAUUAGCUAGUAGGUGGGGUAACGGCUCACCUAGGCGAGGAGCCCGCGCUGGUCUGAGAGGAUGACCAGCCACCCUGGAACUGAGCCACGGUCCAGACUCCUACGGGAGGCAGCAGUGGGGAAUAUUGCACAAUGGGCGCAAGCCUGAUGCAGCCAUGCCGCGUGUAUGAAGAAGGCCUUCGGGUUGUACCGUACUUUCAGCGGGGAGGAAGGGAGUAAAGUUAAUACCUUUGCUCAUUGACGUUACCCGCAGAAGAAGCACCGGCUCACUCCUU
Molecule: ribosomal RNA, 489 nt
Filed under: uncultured bacterium
Lineage: Bacteria
Description: partial 16S ribosomal RNA
Rfam family: Bacterial small subunit ribosomal RNA
Source: RNAcentral